GACGAACGCUGGCGGCGUGCUUAACACAUGCAAGUCGAACGGAAAGGCCCUGCUUUUGUGGGGUGCUCGAGUGGCGAACGGGUGAGUAACACGUGAGUAACCUGCCCUUGACUUUGGGAUAAAUUCAGGAAACUGGGGCUCAUACCGGAUAGGAGCUCCUGCUGCAUGGUGGGGGUUGGAAAGUUUCGGCGGUUGGGGAUGGACUCGCGGCUUAUCAGCUUGUUGGUGGGGUAGUGGCUUACCAAGGCUUUGACGGGUAGCCGGCCUGAGAGGGUGACCGGCCACAUUGGGACUGAGAUACGGCCCAGACUCCUACGGGAGGCAGCAGUGGGGAAUAUUGCACAAUGGGCGGAAGCCUGAUGCAGCAACGCCGCGUGCGGGAUGACGGCCUUCGGGUUGUAAACCGCUUUCGCCUGUGACGAAGCGUGAGUGACGGUAAUGGGUAAAGAAGCACCGGCUAACUACGUG
This 468-nucleotide ribosomal RNA is filed under the name uncultured bacterium. RNAcentral describes it as "partial 16S ribosomal RNA". It matches the Rfam family "Bacterial small subunit ribosomal RNA", at positions 28 to 507 of the family's 1533-position model. The record is from RNAcentral.